UAGGGAAUCUUCCACAAUGGGCGAAAGCCUGAUGGAGCAACGCCGCGUGUGUGAUGAAGGGUUUCGGCUCGUAAAACACUGUUGUAAGAGAAGAAUGACAUUGAGAGUAACUGUUCAAUGUGUGACGGUAUCUUACCAGAAAGGGAACGGCUAAAUACGUGCCAG
RNAcentral lists this ribosomal RNA (165 nucleotides) under uncultured bacterium. Its description in RNAcentral is "partial 16S rRNA". It matches the Rfam family "Bacterial small subunit ribosomal RNA", at positions 355 to 511 of the family's 1533-position model. The record is from RNAcentral.